RNAcentral lists this ribosomal RNA (253 nucleotides) under uncultured bacterium. RNAcentral's name for it is "partial 16S ribosomal RNA". It matches the Rfam family "Bacterial small subunit ribosomal RNA", at positions 524 to 776 of the family's 1533-position model. The record is from RNAcentral.
UACGAAGGGUGCAAGCGUUAUCCGGAUUCAUUGGGUUUAAAGGGUGCGUAGGUGGGGCGUUAAGUCAGUGGUGAAAUCCUGCAGCUCAACUGUAGACUUGCCAUUGAUACUGGCGCUCUUGAGUGCGCUUGAAGUAGGCGGAAUGUGCCGUGUAGCGGUGAAAUGCUUAGAUAUGACAUAGAACACCAAUUGCGAAGGCAGCUCACUACACGAAUAUUGACACUGAGGCACGAAAGCGUGGGGAUCAAACAGG